RNAcentral lists this microRNA precursor (84 nucleotides) under Cebus imitator (Panamanian white-faced capuchin). Its description in RNAcentral is "miRNA (ENSCCAG00000011852.1)". The record is from RNAcentral. Lineage: Eukaryota; Metazoa; Chordata; Mammalia; Primates; Cebidae.
UAUUAGGUUGAAUCAAAAAUAAUUGUGGUUUUUGCCAUUUCUUUUAAUGGUAAAAACUGCAAUUACUUUUGAACCAAGCAAUAU